RNAcentral lists this long non-coding RNA (648 nucleotides) under Durio zibethinus. RNAcentral's name for it is "long non-coding RNA (DZIB_LNC000793)". Lineage: Eukaryota; Viridiplantae; Streptophyta; Magnoliopsida; Malvales; Malvaceae. The record is from RNAcentral.
CAGGUAGCUUUUAUGAAUGAGUUUGAUCUAGACGUUGUAUGAUUAUAUAUUUUUGAUAGAUGUGUAUUGAGAUUAUAUGAUCAUACAUACUGUUAUCUAGUUAAUUUGUUGCAAGUACAGGUGUCACAAAAGAUCUAUGUUAUUUCCUAUUCAGACAUGCAAAGUUAAUGGUAAUAUGUUUGGUCAAAAUUUGAAAUGUGAACUUUUCUUAUAUUCUCUUCAGCUGAAAAUGAUACAUGGUUCAGCUGAAAAUGAUACAUGGUUUCACGAGCCAAAAUCUAAGGACUUGAAUGAAUCAUAGCAGUGUAAGUAAGUUAAUUAAGCAGCAAGCAUUUAGGUGAUUUUGAUUUAAAUAAGAAAGAAAAAGAAACCUGUAGUCUUCUUGUCCAAGUGAAUUGAAGUAGCUUGUAUGAGUCAUUGUUUACAUCCUCCAAUGUCUUUGUGUGUACCUAUUAAGCUUUAGCUAGCAGACUUUAGUUUUAAUGAUGAUCCAAUAAUUUAAGCUAUGAAAAUUGUUUCUUGCAUACUUUCAAAGAUCUAUAGAGUAUCCUAGUCUGGUUCUUACUAUAUUCAUAAUCAACUUCUUUGUUUUUUACCUUUAUCCUUUUUUACAUACAUACAUAUAUAGUUUAUGUUACCUAUAGCAUG